CACGCGCCUGCAUUUACUGACAUCGCCGCUUACGGUGGCGUGAAAGAUUGAGUACAUUUCCUUUGUGACGUGAUUUUCUUCCGUAUUGGAUAAAGUGCCGUUUGAAGUGUGCCAAUUUUGCAAGGCAACGCCCGUUUUUCGGACCUUCAUCGAGAUCGAAGAUCGUGAGGAGCGAUGCAAGAUCAUAUCGCAGGUAAACGCGACGAUACCAGCGUGUCAGUGAGCCGGCUUGCUUCGCUUCCGGUUUUGAUCUUCACAUUGAUGACAUCGAAUAUCAGCUAUUCGUGCCUAGGAAACGUCAACAGUGCUGAAUAUGCCGUGCAAAGAAAGUUCCACCAUAUUUUAUCUAACGUGGUGACAAAGAAGUACUGUUGGGCCACUGAGAAUGAUUUUUUAUUUGAAUCUUUGGCAAAUGUGUUGCUGUACCUGCUCGGUGAGUGUCAACACAAAAAAAACUUGUUUCUCGCUCUAGCUUUUGCUGACAGAGUGAAAAAAAAACACUGCGCGGAAACGACAGGAAGGAAAAGAGGAGACAGAACAAAGCAUUGACUUACAACAAUUUUUUAUUUAGGAAUGCGAACACAUUGAUAUCGUAGCAGGCAGAAGACAUGUUACUACCACAAUAUCGAAAUUGUCGCUGUAACGUUGUCACAGAA
Long non-coding RNA from Rhipicephalus microplus (southern cattle tick), 656 nucleotides. RefSeq lists it as uncharacterized. Lineage: Eukaryota; Metazoa; Arthropoda; Arachnida; Ixodida; Ixodidae. The record is from RefSeq and is a predicted model, not a curated record.